AAGCAUAUCAAUAAGCGGAGGAAAAGAAACUAACAAGGAUUCCCCUAGUAACUGCGAGUGAAGCGGGAAAAGCUCAAAUUUAAAAUCUGGCGGUCUUUGGCCGUCCGAGUUGUAAUCUAGAGAAGUGUUAUCCGCGCUGGACCGUGUACAAGUCUCCUGGAAUGGAGCGUCAUAGAGGGUGAGAAUCCCGUCUUUGACACGGACUGCCAGGGCUUUGUGAUGCGCUCUCAAAGAGUCGAGUUGUUUGGGAAUGCAGCUCCAAAUGGGUGGUAAAUUCCAUCUAAAGCUAAAUAUUGGCGAGAGACCGAUAGCGAACAAGUACCGUGAGGGAAAGAUGAAAAGAACUUUGGAAAGAGAGUUAAACAGUACGUGAAAUUGCUGAAAGGGAAACGCUUGAAGUCAGUCGCGUUGGCCGGGAAUCAACCUUGCUUUUGCUGGGCGUACUUUCCGGUCGACGGGUCAGCAUCAAUUUUGACCGUUGGAUAAAGUCUAGAGGAAUGUGGCAUCUUCGGGUGUGUUAUAGCCUCUGGUCGCAUACAACGGUUGGGAUUGAGGAACUCAGCACGCCGCAAGGCCGGGUACUCGUACCACGUUCGUGCUUAGGAUGCUGGCAUAAUGGCUUUAAUCGACCCGUCUUGAAACACGGACCAAGGAGUCUAACAUGCCUGCGAGUGUUUGGGUGGAAAACCCGAGCGCGUAAUGAAAGUGAAAGUUGAGAUCCCUGUCGUGGGGAGCAUCGACGCCCGGACCAGACCUUUUGUGACGGUUCCGCGGUAGAGCAUGUAUGUUGGGACCCGAAAGAUGGUGAACUAUGCCUGAAUAGGGUGAAGCCAGAGGAAACUCUGGUGGAGGCUCGUAGCGAUUCUGACGUGCAAAUCGAUCGUCAAAUUUGGGUAUAGGGGCGAAAGACUAAUCGAACCAUCUAGUAGCUGGUUCCUGCCGAAGUUCCCCUCAGGGAUA
Molecule: ribosomal RNA, 960 nt
Filed under: Amylosporus sp.
Lineage: Eukaryota; Fungi; Basidiomycota; Agaricomycetes; Russulales; Wrightoporiaceae
Description: partial large subunit ribosomal RNA
Rfam family: Eukaryotic large subunit ribosomal RNA
Source: RNAcentral